RNAcentral lists this ribosomal RNA (501 nucleotides) under uncultured Glomus. RNAcentral describes it as "SSU rRNA". It matches the Rfam family "Eukaryotic small subunit ribosomal RNA", at positions 591 to 1092 of the family's 1831-position model. Lineage: Eukaryota; Fungi; Glomeromycota; Glomeromycetes; Glomerales; Glomeraceae. The record is from RNAcentral.
CCAAUAGCGUAUAUUAAAGUUGUUGCAGUUAAAAAGCUCGUAGUUGAAUUUCGGGGUUAGUAGGUUGGUCAUGCCUCUGGUAUGUACUGGUCUCACUGAUUCCUCCUUCCUGAUGAACCGUAAUGCCAUUAAUUUGGUGUUGCGAGGAAUUUGGACUGUUACUUUGAAAAAAUUAGAGUGUUUUAAAGCAAGCUAACGCUUGAAUACAUUAGCAUGGAAUAAUGAAAUAGGACGUUCGAUCCUAUUUUGUUGGUUUCUAGGAUUGACGUAAUGAUUAAUAGGGAUAGUUGGGGGGAUUAGUAUUCAAUUGUCAGAGGUGAAAUUCUUGGAUUUAUUGAAGACUAACUACUGCGAAAGCAUUUGCCAAGGAUGUUUUCAUUAAUCAAGAACGAAAGUUAGGGGAUCGAAGACGAUCAGAUACCGUCGUAGUCUUAACCAUAAACUAUGCCGACUAGGGAUCGGAUGAUGUUAAUUUUUUAAUGACUCAUUCGGCGCCUUACG